UCGUCGCUCGUCAGUAGUUUGAUCCUGGCUCAGGACGAACGCUGGCGGCGUGCUUAACACAUGCAAGUCGAACGAUGAAGCCGGGGCUUUUUUGUUUUUGGUGGAUUAGUGGCGAACGGGUGAGUAAUACGUGAGUAACCUGCCCUUGUCUUUGGGAUAAGCCUGGGAAACUGGGUCUAAUACCGGAUAUUCUGCUCUUGCCGCAUGGUGGGGGUUGGAAAGAUUUUUUGGAUGGGGAUGGGCUCACGGCCUAUCAGCUUGUUGGUGGGGUGAUGGCCUACCAAGGCGUCGACGGGUAGCCGGCCUGAGAGGGUGACCGGCCACAUUGGGACUGAGAUACGGCCCAG
RNAcentral lists this ribosomal RNA (347 nucleotides) under uncultured bacterium. RNAcentral's name for it is "bacterial SSU rRNA". It matches the Rfam family "Bacterial small subunit ribosomal RNA", at positions 1 to 334 of the family's 1533-position model. The record is from RNAcentral.